This 606-nucleotide long non-coding RNA is filed under the name Ananas comosus (pineapple). Its description in RNAcentral is "long non-coding RNA (ACOM_LNC009310)". The record is from RNAcentral. Lineage: Eukaryota; Viridiplantae; Streptophyta; Magnoliopsida; Poales; Bromeliaceae.
GAAUUCGGGACGAAUUUUUAGAAAUCCGAACCCGAACCCGACUCCAAACUCGAGACCCGAAUCCGAAUCCGAACCCAAACCUUACGGAUUUUAAAAAUUCAUAUCCAAACCCGAACCCGAGCAAUAAUCCGAAACCCGAACUCGAACCCGAACCCGAACCCGAACCCGAACCUUACGGAUUUUAAAAAUUCAUAUCCAAACCCGAACCCGACCAAUAAUCCGAAACCCGAACCCGAUCCCGAACCCAAAAAUUUGAACCCGAAAUAAUUAUUUUUUUUUAAUAUUUUAAAAUAUAUUAUAUUAAAUCUAAAUUUUUAAAAUACAAAUUUAAAUAUAACAUCAAAUUUAUAUAUAUAUAUAUAUAUAUAUUAUAUAAUACAAAAUAAAUUCGGGUUCGGAUUCGGAUCGGGUACAGUCAAAAUUCAUAUUCGAAUUCGUAUCCGUCGGAUUUCUAUUUUUGAUAUUCAUAUACGAAUCCAUAUCUAUUUAGUAUCAGAUAUAUCCGUUUCAUUCAGAUUCGGAUUCGAAUAAAAUUUCGGAUAUCCAUAUAGAUUGACAUCCCUAUUUGGAGCGUAUCAACAUAUAGAUUCUUGUGUUGUGAGUAGU